Molecule: ribosomal RNA, 450 nt
Filed under: uncultured bacterium
Lineage: Bacteria
Description: partial 16S ribosomal RNA
Rfam family: Bacterial small subunit ribosomal RNA
Source: RNAcentral
UGCCAGACUCCUACGGGAGGCAGCAGUGGGGAAUAUUGGGCAAUGGGCGCAAGCCUGACCCAGCAACGCCGCGUGAAGGAAGAAGGCUUUCGGGUUGUAAACUUCUUUUAAGAGGGAAGAGAAGAAGACGGUACCUCUUGAAUAAGCCACGGCUAACUACGUGCCAGCAGCCGCGGUAAUACGUAGGUGGCAAGCGUUGUCCGGAUUUACCGGGUGUAAAGGGCGUGCAGCCGGGCUGACAAGUCAGAUGUGAAGUCCCGCGGCUCAACCGCGGAACUGCAUUUGAAACUGUUGGUCUUGAGUAUCGGAGAGGCAGGCGGAAUUCCUAGUGUAGCGGUGAAAUGCGUAGAUAUUAGGAGGAACACCAGUGGCGAAGGCGGCCUGCUGGACGACAACUGACGGUGAGGCGCGAAAGCGUGGGGAGCAAACAGGAUUAGAUACCCUCGUAAG